CCGAAAGGUUCCGAGUUUGGAAUGUUGCACCAACCUUCCGGAACCGCUACCGAUUAUGGCGGAUUCAUUCGGAAGCGAUUCCGAAAUUUUGGUUGAAUUUACCCAUCACUAGUCGCCAGCUGGCGCCGUUUGACGUUUCACACACACGCUCGUCCGAGUUUGUUUUGCCAAUGUGUGCUACGAUCGAUUUCCAGUGAAAAGGGCCUCGUACCUUGUACAGCCGCAAACGAACGAAAGGCACCCAAAACAGUCCGUUGAUUUGUGAACUUUCUCAUACUAAUUGCAUGAGAAAGUAUAAUUUAUGAAUGAUCCAUAUCGAUGCCAACCCCAUUACGCCCUCACAGAGUUAGAACGCAAAAGGGAAAUAAUCCAAACCCAGAGCGCUUUUAGUAUUAUGUAUCAGCUGUGUUUGAUUUCAUGAUCCCCCACUCACUCACUCGACUAUAUUUAAAAUCUAUUUGGCCCCGCUGACACACCUGAUAAAAGGCUGCAGCGCAAUACAUUACCAGUGGACAAAUCAA
Molecule: long non-coding RNA, 521 nt
Organism: Anopheles arabiensis
Lineage: Eukaryota; Metazoa; Arthropoda; Insecta; Diptera; Culicidae
Exons: 2
Source: RefSeq, a predicted model, not a curated record